This 478-nucleotide ribosomal RNA is filed under the name Ruegeria sp. HDEP12. RNAcentral describes it as "bacterial SSU rRNA". It matches the Rfam family "Bacterial small subunit ribosomal RNA", at positions 380 to 876 of the family's 1533-position model. The record is from RNAcentral. Lineage: Bacteria; Pseudomonadati; Pseudomonadota; Alphaproteobacteria; Rhodobacterales; Roseobacteraceae.
ACCCUGAUCCAGCCAUGCCGCGUGAGUGAUGAAGGCCUUAGGGUCGUAAAGCUCUUUCGCCUGUGAAGAUAAUGACGGUAGCAGGUAAAGAAACCCCGGCUAACUCCGUGCCAGCAGCCGCGGUAAUACGGAGGGGGUUAGCGUUGUUCGGAAUUACUGGGCGUAAAGCGCACGUAGGCGGACCAGAAAGUUGGGGGUGAAAUCCCGGGGCUCAACCCCGGAACUGCCUCCAAAACUAUUGGUCUAGAGUUCGAGAGAGGUGAGUGGAAUUCCAAGUGUAGAGGUGAAAUUCGUAGAUAUUUGGAGGAACACCAGUGGCGAAGGCGGCUCACUGGCUCGAUACUGACGCUGAGGUGCGAAAGUGUGGGGAGCAAACAGGAUUAGAUACCCUGGUAGUCCACACCGUAAACGAUGAAUGCCAGUCGUCGGGUAGCAUGCUAUUCGGUGACACACCUAACGGAUUAAGCAUUCCGCCUGG